Molecule: ribosomal RNA, 460 nt
Filed under: uncultured bacterium
Lineage: Bacteria
Description: partial 16S ribosomal RNA
Rfam family: Bacterial small subunit ribosomal RNA
Source: RNAcentral
CUACGGGGGGCAGCAGUAAGGAAUAUUGGGCAAUGGACGCAAGUCUGACCCAGCCAUGCCGCGUGCAGGAUGACAGCCCUACGGGUUGUAAACUGCUUUUAUACGGGAAAAAACCCCUGCACGAGUUGCGGGGUUGAUGGUACCGCAAGAAUAAGCAUCGGCUAACUCCGUGCCAGCAGCCGCGGUAAUACGGAGGAUGCAAGCGUUAUCCGGAUUCAUUGGGUUUAAAGGGUGCGUAGGCGGAAUGAUAAGUCAGUGGUGAAAUCCUACAGCUUAACUGUAGAACUGCCAUUGAUACUGUUGUUCUUGAGUACAUUUGAAGUGGGCGGAAUGUGUCAUGUAGCGGUGAAAUGCAUAGAGAUGACACAGAACACCGAUCGCGAAGGCAGCUCACUAAACUGUAACUGACGCUGAGGCACGAAAGCGUGGGGAUCAAACAGGAUUAGAUACCCCGGUAGUC